AACAUACCGAGAUAAUAGUCUUCAUAAUUCAAUUUUGAAAUGAAAUCCAUGAGCAAAUAUCAAAGCCGUUUUGAGGUUAGAUAAGUUAUGUUGUACGGUUAAAUGGCUGAAGGGAGAAGUGAAACUAAAAUUUAAAAGUACCUUUUGGUCUCCAUGGAGUAUGUUGGAUUAGGCCGCGUUUGACUCCAGAUCUGCGAUCUGGAUCCAUUCAAAAUAUGUCUGUAUCGAGAUAUUUUGGUGGAAUUUAAGAUCAAAACGAAUCAGAGUGAGUGUGAGAGCGAGAUGCAAGAGACACAAGGUGAGGGGAGAACCCGGGCUUAAAAAAUAUCCCCGUGCGAACUCCCCUCACAACAACACGAAACUAUUUUUUUUAUUAGAGAUUUUUUUUGGUGACCUGCCAUGCAAGCGCACCUGUCAUGGCAAAGGUCGGAUGACAAAGAUGCUUAAUCAGAACUCAAGCCAACUCAUCGGGGCUUUUUCGUCCUUAACAAACAUCUCAUACAUCCUUCAUACUCAUUUCACAUAUAUUCCUCCCUCCUUUAGCUCUUCGACUCUUCUUCAAUCGCUCCUCUCC
Molecule: long non-coding RNA, 574 nt
Filed under: Brassica rapa (field mustard)
Lineage: Eukaryota; Viridiplantae; Streptophyta; Magnoliopsida; Brassicales; Brassicaceae
Description: long non-coding RNA (BRAP_LNC002366)
Source: RNAcentral